RNAcentral lists this ribosomal RNA (253 nucleotides) under uncultured bacterium. RNAcentral's name for it is "partial 16S ribosomal RNA". It matches the Rfam family "Bacterial small subunit ribosomal RNA", at positions 524 to 776 of the family's 1533-position model. The record is from RNAcentral.
UACGGGGGGGGCAAGCGUUGUUCGGAAUUACUGGGCGUAAAGGGCGCGUAGGCGGCCUUCUAAGUCGGACGUGAAAUCCCUCGGCUUAACCGAGGAACUGCGUCCGAUACUGAAAGGCUUGAAUCCGGGAGAGGGAUGUGGAAUUCCAGGUGUAGCGGUGAAAUGCGUAGAUAUCUGGAGGAACACCGGUGGCGAAGGCGGCAUCCUGGACCGGUAUUGACGCUGAGGCUCGAAAGCGUGGGUAGCAAACAGG